GUUUAGAGACGAAAUUCAUUUGAGCACACUGUGUGGUUUGCAACCUCCAUUGUGAACAUUGUUGGCGGUGCAAUACAGCCUUGCCUGCUGUCUGCCAGCUAUUUGUGUCUAUUAAGCGCCUAUAAAAGGAAGGAAGCAUGGCGGGGCGGCCCACAUCAAAUUCCAAGCGGCGAGGCCGAGAAGUGGUCAUGCUGAUUUCAUCAAACAUGCGAGAGAGCUGCUCGCUUGCUACGGGAGGCCUGACAACAAGCAGAACCUUUGGCAUCUGAUGCGGCGAUGAAGAGCUCCAAUAAGAUUUUGCGAGGCGUUCCAUUGAAGUCUCUGUUCCAUUGGUGCAGAAGUUACCCAUAAAAGGCAUUUGAAGUGAAGUAGCGCCAGAGGCUGAAUCAGAAACCAAAUCAGUCGCCCUUACCUUUGAGGCCAACAUCAAACACUUCUGCAAGAUUUAGCUUCGCUACCUCAGGGGUAUUGUAAACCUCAGCUCCGCACUCUCCAUCCCUGGAACAGGUUCAUAUUUUGUCUUGUCUCUUG
Molecule: long non-coding RNA, 531 nt
Organism: Hippocampus zosterae (dwarf seahorse)
Lineage: Eukaryota; Metazoa; Chordata; Actinopteri; Syngnathiformes; Syngnathidae
Exons: 3
Source: RefSeq, a predicted model, not a curated record